UACCAUGUGGCGUAGUGGUUUGAGUGUUGGGCUAUGACUCUGGAGAUCAGGGUUUGAUUCCCCGCUUGGCCA
Non-coding RNA from Phrynosoma platyrhinos (Desert horned lizard), 72 nucleotides. Lineage: Eukaryota; Metazoa; Chordata; Lepidosauria; Squamata; Phrynosomatidae. The record is from the annotation of a GenBank genome assembly.